Molecule: transfer RNA, 73 nt
Filed under: Varanus jobiensis
Lineage: Eukaryota; Metazoa; Chordata; Lepidosauria; Squamata; Varanidae
Description: tRNA-Asn
Source: RNAcentral
UAGGCAGAGCCCCUCUGGUUUGGGCGGCUAGCUGUUAAUUAGUUGUUUACGGGAUCGAGGCCCGUCUGUCUAG